This 484-nucleotide ribosomal RNA is filed under the name uncultured bacterium. RNAcentral's name for it is "partial 16S ribosomal RNA". It matches the Rfam family "Bacterial small subunit ribosomal RNA", at positions 30 to 507 of the family's 1533-position model. The record is from RNAcentral.
AUUGAACGCUGGCGGAAUGCUUUACACAUGCAAGUCGAACGAUGAACCUUAGCUUGCUAAGGGGAUUAGUGGCGAACGGGUGAGUAAUAUAUCGGAACGUGCCUUGCAAUGGGGGAUAACUAGUCGAAAGAUUAGCUAAUACCGCAUACGCCCUGAGGGGGAAAGUAGUGGAUCUUCGGACCUUACGUUAUAAGAGCGCCCGAUAUCGGAUUAGCUAGUUGGUUGGGUAAUGGCCUACCAAGGCGACGAUCAGUAGCUGGUCUGAGAGGACGACCAGCCACACUGGAACUGAGACACGGUCCAGACUCCUACGGGAGGCAGCAGUGGGGAAUUUUGGACAAUGGGCGCAAGCCUGAUCCAGCCAUUCCGCGUGAGUGAAGAAGGCCUUCGGGUUGUAAAGCUCUUUCGCAAGGGAAGAAAACUUGCCAUCGAAUAAAUGGUGAGGCUGACGGUACCUUGAUAAGAAGCACCGGCUAACUACGUG